RNAcentral lists this transfer RNA (84 nucleotides) under Felis catus (domestic cat). It matches the Rfam family "tRNA". Rfam says of the family: Transfer RNA (tRNA) molecules are approximately 80 nucleotides in length. Their secondary structure includes four short double-helical elements and three loops (D, anti-codon, and T loops). Further hydrogen bonds mediate the characteristic L-shaped molecular structure. tRNAs have two regions of fundamental functional importance: the anti-codon, which is responsible for specific mRNA codon recognition, and the 3' end, to which the tRNAs corresponding amino acid is attached (by aminoacyl-tRNA synthetases). tRNAs cope with the degeneracy of the genetic code in two manners: having more than one tRNA (with a specific anti-codon) for a particular amino acid; and 'wobble' base-pairing, i.e. permitting non-standard base-pairing at the 3rd anti-codon position. The record is from Rfam by way of RNAcentral. Lineage: Eukaryota; Metazoa; Chordata; Mammalia; Carnivora; Felidae.
ACCUGGGUGGCUCAGUGGGUUGAGCAUCUGACUUUAGCUCAGGUCACGAUCUCGCUAUCGUGAGUUCAAGCCCCGCAUCGGGCU